CGCCGAUCCUCCAUUAGAGAGGGCUACCACGUGCUACAAUGGACCGUACAAAGAGCUGCGAGACCGCGAGAUGAAGCUAAUCUCAUAAAACCGUUCUCAGUUCGGAUUGUAGUCUGCAACUCGACUACAUGAAGCUGGAAUCGCUAGUAAUCGCGGAUCAGCAUGCCGCGGUGAAUACGUUCCCGGGCCUUGUACACACCGCCCGUCACACCACGAGAGUUUGUAACACCCGAAGUCGGUGGGGUAACCUUUUUGGAGCCAGCCGCCAAAGUGGGAACAGAGGAUUGGGGUGAAGCCGUAACAGGUUAGCCGUAUCGAAAGGUGCGGUUGGAUCACCUCU
Molecule: ribosomal RNA, 340 nt
Filed under: Bacillus thuringiensis
Lineage: Bacteria; Bacillati; Bacillota; Bacilli; Caryophanales; Bacillaceae
Description: bacterial SSU rRNA
Rfam family: Bacterial small subunit ribosomal RNA
Source: RNAcentral